AUGAAUGAUUCAAACACUCUACUUCCUGAUCCUGCAAGGAUAACCUCCUUAAAAUCAUCAUUCUUCGGUGGCAUCCCAAGCAUGAACACCCACCCUCCUGUCCAUCAUAAAUCCUCCACGCCGUCUGAUCCGCCAAACCCUAAUGAUGACAUCUAUCUUAGGUCCAUGACUGCUCUUCAGAAACGAAGGAUGGCAAAUGAUGCUUUUUGGGCUGACUAUAGUACUACAAAAGUAUGCCCUUGCUUUCCUGGUCUUCCUACUCUGGACAUUUCAACCAUGCAGUUUCCAUAA
This is a non-coding RNA of Vicia faba (fava bean), 291 nucleotides long. NCBI's taxonomy places the organism in Eukaryota, Viridiplantae, Streptophyta, Magnoliopsida, Fabales, Fabaceae. The record is from the annotation of a GenBank genome assembly.